This is a long non-coding RNA of Triticum aestivum (bread wheat), 681 nucleotides long. RefSeq lists it as uncharacterized. The record is from RefSeq and is a predicted model, not a curated record. NCBI's taxonomy places the organism in Eukaryota, Viridiplantae, Streptophyta, Magnoliopsida, Poales, Poaceae. The transcript is spliced from 3 exons.
CCUAUCUCCUCGCCUUUUCCGUUGUUCGUCUACUCGCCGCUUCGCGUCGUGCCCCUGUACGCCGUGCUCGCAGUCGCCCCUAUCGCUAGAUCGCCCCAAUUCGCCCAAUCAGUGAAGAAAGAAAGAAUAGUGGUCAGUGGAGAACAAAAUGUCAGUAUUGCAAUACUCUAGGAGACUAGGACGGCUGGAAGCAGCGGCAAAGUGAUACUGAUGCAGUAAUUGAUCGCUUUGAGGCCAUGAAAGAAAAUAAGAAACCAUUUUAGAAAGACAUGGGACCCCGGGUCAUUUUUGUCCUGGGUCCGCCCGCGUCCCCUGCCGCGCGCACGACGAACGCGUCGAGCUUGCCACGGGACGGCGCGCCAAGGAAGCGGAGGAUCUCGUCCAGGGUGGCGCCGCGGGCGCCGGCCGCAACGCGCGCUAGCGCGGUGUAGAUGGACAGUGACGAGAAGACCAGGUUGUUGUUUGCGUGCUUGUCGGCCAGGGCCCGCGCGAGGCCGGCGGAUAGCGCCGCCAGCCCCUCGGAGCCGGAGUCGCCGCCGGCAGGCUGCGGCUGAUGCCUCCUCGUCGGCCCGGCUCCUUGGAAGUCCAUCAUAUUGUAUCGAAUCGAUAGAGGGUUUAGAAUCGCUGACGGAUCUGAUUACUUUGCUUCGGUUGCUGUUUACGAGUUGCUAAUAUAAGGGU